This 281-nucleotide non-coding RNA is filed under the name Sarcina ventriculi. RNAcentral's name for it is "Clostridium ventriculi T-box sequence". It matches the Rfam family "T-box leader". Rfam says of the family: Uncharged tRNA acts as the effector for transcription antitermination of genes in the T-box leader family. T-boxes are found upstream of many aminoacyl-tRNA synthetase genes and some amino acid biosynthetic genes usually in Gram-positive bacteria. The record is from RNAcentral. Lineage: Bacteria; Bacillati; Bacillota; Clostridia; Eubacteriales; Clostridiaceae.
UUAGUAACUUUGAUCAGGGCAAGUACUUAAAUUAAAGCCUUUUAGAGAGUGAUUGGUUGGUGAAAAAUCAUAGGAAAAUUUAAGGAAUAUCACCUGUGAGUUGGAUGCUGAACGAAAGUUUUAUUUUUAUUAAGUUAUCCCGUUUAUCCACGUUACAGGAUUAAGGCAUAAUAUGUGCUUUUACGAAACUUAGCAAGAAACCUUACUUAUAUAAUUUUAAAAUUUAUUGCUAAGAUAACUAUGCAAUUUAGGUGGUACAGCGAAUAUACUUCGUCCUUUAU